AAUUUCAACCAUUGUAAGACUCUAUUGUGAGUGUAUCGAUGGCUGAGUGAGUGAUGCCUCCCAGGUUGCAGAAACACAAAUUGCAGCUUUUCCUUAAGGUGUCUGAUCUAUCCUCUCAAGAAGGCAAUUUCUUUUUUAAUUUCCUCUGAUGAGACUCAGAAGAUGAUGGAUAAAAUAUGAGGUGAGCUCUUUUAUUUAUUUAUUUUCAAGGCAGUCUUCUGUGUGAAACACAUCAUGUUUUGUUUCUUUGCUGCCAUGGAAAGUGCUCAAGUCUUGAAGUGUUCUUGAUGGAAGUGUUGUCACUAAGCAGGGUAAAGCAAAG
RNAcentral lists this long non-coding RNA (322 nucleotides) under Struthio camelus australis. RNAcentral's name for it is "lncRNA (ENSSCUG00000007977.1)". Lineage: Eukaryota; Metazoa; Chordata; Aves; Struthioniformes; Struthionidae. The record is from RNAcentral.